Molecule: long non-coding RNA, 790 nt
Filed under: Medicago truncatula (barrel medic)
Lineage: Eukaryota; Viridiplantae; Streptophyta; Magnoliopsida; Fabales; Fabaceae
Description: lncRNA gene22886
Source: RNAcentral
UUUUACCGUUUCACGUUGUAACUUCGUUUCUUAGCAUUAGUAGUAGUAGACGACAAUCUCAGUUUCCGAUCCUUGCGUUUCAACGGUUCAAUCACCGAGUCUCUAAACCGGCACGGUAAAGCUUGGUUCCUUCCUCUUUUAGACCGAACCACCGGUUCAUUUUCAUACAAAUCCACAACAACCCGAGCCAUUAACUCCGUUCCGGUUCGUUUCUCUGAUUCCUCCAAGUCUGAACCGUUCUUUUCAGACAACACUCUAGCCGCUUCGAUAAGUAAAUCAAGAUAGUUAUUAUCGCCACGUGGACGUUGAAACGACGACGUUUUUGGGUUUUCUUCGUUUUUGUUUUCUAACAACAGCGGUGCCACGUCAUCAUCGACAGUUUUGUGUUCUUGAACAUGAAUUGUUUGGUUGUUGGAAGUGGUUUUUGAGGAAGAUUGAGAAUCUUGUUGUGUGAUGGAAGAGAAAGAGAGAUUCAAAUCAAUAGGAAGAAUGGGAGAAGGUGGAGUUGAGGAAAUGAUGUGAAGGAUUUUGAAGAAGUACAUUUGGGAUUUGGAAUAGCUACGAUGGUUAUAAGAAGAAGCCAUUGAUGUUGGUUGAAGAAGGGGAUUUUUUGUUUUCAGAGAAGAAAAGAAAAGGGUUAUUUCGUCAUGGUGGUAUGGACCACGAUUUUCAAAGCAAAAACAACGGUGAGUGAGAGAAACAAGUAGUAAUAAAAACAGAAGAUUGUUAACAGUAAUGUCGUGAGUGCAGUGUACGGAGUAACCAAAAGUGAUUUUUUUUUUUUUUUUUU